This 457-nucleotide ribosomal RNA is filed under the name uncultured bacterium. RNAcentral's name for it is "partial 16S ribosomal RNA". It matches the Rfam family "Bacterial small subunit ribosomal RNA", at positions 338 to 795 of the family's 1533-position model. The record is from RNAcentral.
CCUACGGGUGGCAGCAGUGGGGAAUAUUGCACAAUGGGGGAAACCCUGAUGCAGCGACGCCGCGUGAGUGAAGAAGUAUUUCGGUACGUAAAGCUCUAUCAGCAGGGAAGAAAAAAAGUCCUUUGGACUUUGGACGGUACCUGACCAAGAAGCCCCGGCUAACUACGUGCCAGCAGCCGCGGUAAUACGUAGGGGGCAAGCGUUAUCCGGAUUGACUGGGUUUAAAGGGAGCGUAGACGGCAGCGCAAGUCUGGAGUGAAAUGCCGGGGCCCAACCCCGGAACUGCUUUGGAAACUGUGCAGCUGGAGUGCAGGAGAGGUAAGCGGAAUUCCUAGUGUAGCGGUGAAAUGCGUAGAUAUUAGGAGGAACACCAGUGGCGAAGGCGGCUUACUGGACUUUAACUGACGUUGAGGCUCGAAAGCGUGGGGAUCAAACAGGAUUAGAUACCCUAGUAGUC